CCGAGCUCGGCGGGACGGCCCCGAAACAAAAAGCGAAAGCGGCGGCCGCUGCCUCCCGCUCUGCCGGGCUGCCGCGCUCUGCCCGCGGCUGACGUCAAGGGCCCAAAUUCCUGCCUUUCCCUGCAGGCAGAUUUGUCCAUUAGCUGUUCGGUAUCUGCAUCUGCCCUGAAGAGAGCUGCAAGACAGAAGGGUUACAUUAUGUUCAGGCUGCGGAGGGGAGCAUUUCCAAGCCUUUUUCAUUUGGAAAGAGAUUUCUGGGAUAUGCAGAUUCCACCCUUCUGACAUCACUGCCUCAUCUCGCCUCAUCGGUGCCUCAUGACACAACCCCUCUCCACAGCACUGAGUCAGCACCACUGUGUGAUCUCUUCUUGGCCAUGCAAGAUGGUGAAAAGCUGCCCAUAAUGGUGAAAGCAUAGAGGGACCUCUAAACAGGUCCACAAAGGGAUUAAAAAACUCAUGGUCAUCUUAUGAGAACCCCUCCCAGGAAAUAACAUGUGCUUGGAAAAAUUUACUGUACAGUAACACAGCAGUGUUCUAUGGGAGUGCUCCCACAGCAGAUGGAACAAUAAUUCAUACUGUGUGUUCAAAGAAAGGAGCAAGGAACACUUGCACUUCACUCCUGGAGCUUCAAAAAAGCUGCCAAGCAUAUAUCCCCCUGUAACUAACAGGUACAGGCUGAUUCUGCCUGCUGCAGUCUUCUAUAGGCCUGGACUGAGAGAAUAUUUCUUAAAGCAUCCCUGGAAGUCUCCAAGGCCAGGUUG
Molecule: long non-coding RNA, 761 nt
Organism: Poecile atricapillus (Black-capped chickadee)
Lineage: Eukaryota; Metazoa; Chordata; Aves; Passeriformes; Paridae
Exons: 3
Source: RefSeq, a predicted model, not a curated record